RNAcentral lists this ribosomal RNA (233 nucleotides) under uncultured Glomus. RNAcentral describes it as "partial 18S ribosomal RNA". It matches the Rfam family "Eukaryotic small subunit ribosomal RNA", at positions 548 to 785 of the family's 1831-position model. The record is from RNAcentral. Lineage: Eukaryota; Fungi; Glomeromycota; Glomeromycetes; Glomerales; Glomeraceae.
UUGGAGGGCAGUCUGGUGCCAGCAGCCGCGGUAAUUCCAGCUCCAUAGCGUAUAUUGAAGUUGUUGCAGUUAAAAAGCUCGUAGUUGAACUUCGGGACCAGUGGGUUGGUCGUGCCUCUGGUACGUACUGGCCUUACCGGUUCCUCCCUUCUGAAGAACCACGAUGUCAUUAAUUUGGUGUUGUGGGGAAUCAGGACUGUUACUGUGAAAAAAUUAGAGUGUUUAAAGCAGGC